CCAGUUCGGAUUGUAGUCUGCAACCCGACUACAUGAAGCUGGAAUCGCUAGUAAUCGCGGAUCAGAAUGCCGCGGUGAAUACGUUCCCGGGUCUUGUACACACCGCCCGUCACACCAUGGGAGUCGGAAAUGCCCGAAGUCUGUGACCCCAACCCCUGGUGCGGAUGACCGAGAGGGGAGGAGCCGUCGAAGGCGGGCCUGGUAACUGGGGUGAAGUCGUAACAAGGUAAC
Molecule: ribosomal RNA, 231 nt
Filed under: uncultured bacterium
Lineage: Bacteria
Description: partial 16S ribosomal RNA
Rfam family: Bacterial small subunit ribosomal RNA
Source: RNAcentral